UUCACUAACCCUUGGUAAUAAUUCACUUCGUAAAUAAUUCCGAUUGCGCUCAUGGUUUGCAGGUACUAUUAGAAAUUGCACUGCCCUUUUCCCAUCUAUGCUUCUGAUACGAGCACAUGCUGAUCUAUCAUCCAAAAUCUUGGUCUCCAUCCUCACAGCUGUAAUAUAUGGUUGACCAAGAAUCACCGGGUAUGAAGUAGUGUCUUGAACAAAAAAAUUUUAUUCUGUGGUCACAUUUCUAACCUUUACCUUCACAUUAGGGCAAGCACCAUAAAGAUCUCCUCGUGUAUUAUUUGCUGCUCGAAUCACCCAUCCAUGGUUAAUAUCAAUGGACCACCUUCCAUGUUUAUAGACCUCUUUUGACAUAAUAUUAAUUUCAGAUCCAUGGUCAAUGAGAGC
This 399-nucleotide long non-coding RNA is filed under the name Physcomitrium patens. RNAcentral describes it as "long non-coding RNA (PPAT_LNC009734)". The record is from RNAcentral. Lineage: Eukaryota; Viridiplantae; Streptophyta; Bryopsida; Funariales; Funariaceae.